This 279-nucleotide ribosomal RNA is filed under the name uncultured bacterium. RNAcentral's name for it is "partial 16S ribosomal RNA". It matches the Rfam family "Bacterial small subunit ribosomal RNA", at positions 506 to 784 of the family's 1533-position model. The record is from RNAcentral.
UGCCAGCAGCCGCGGUAAUACGGAGGUGGCAAGCGUUGCUCGGAAUUACUGGGCUUAAAGGGCGUGUAGGCGGCGAGAUCAGUCGGAUGUGAAAGCCCUCGGCUUAACCGAGGAAUUGCACUCGAAACUGUCUGGCUUGAGUGCGGGAGGGGAGAGUGGAACUCUAGGUGUAGCGGUGAAAUGCGUAGAUAUCUAGAGGAACGCCGGUGGCGAAAGCGACUCUCUGGCCCGCAACUGACGCUGAGGCGCGAAAGCUAGGGUAGCGAACAGGAUUAGAUA